Molecule: ribosomal RNA, 301 nt
Filed under: uncultured bacterium
Lineage: Bacteria
Description: partial 16S ribosomal RNA
Rfam family: Bacterial small subunit ribosomal RNA
Source: RNAcentral
CAGUCGCCGCGGUAAUACGGAGGGUGCAAGCGUUGUCCGGAUUUAUUGGGUUUAAAGGGUGCGUAGGCGGCUAUUUAAGUCAGCGGUGAAAGACUCCGGCUCAACCGGAGCAGUGCCAUUGAUACUGGAUAGCUUGAGUGUUGGAGGGGUACAUGGAAUUGAUGGUGUAGCGGUGAAAUGCAUAGAUACCAUCAGGAACACCGAUAGCGAAGGCAUUGUACUGGCCAACAACUGACGCUGAGGCACGAAAGCAUGGGGAGCGAACAGGAUUAGAUACCCCGGUAGUCCCUGUCUCUUAUAC